RNAcentral lists this transfer RNA (71 nucleotides) under Cavia porcellus (domestic guinea pig). It matches the Rfam family "tRNA". Rfam says of the family: Transfer RNA (tRNA) molecules are approximately 80 nucleotides in length. Their secondary structure includes four short double-helical elements and three loops (D, anti-codon, and T loops). Further hydrogen bonds mediate the characteristic L-shaped molecular structure. tRNAs have two regions of fundamental functional importance: the anti-codon, which is responsible for specific mRNA codon recognition, and the 3' end, to which the tRNAs corresponding amino acid is attached (by aminoacyl-tRNA synthetases). tRNAs cope with the degeneracy of the genetic code in two manners: having more than one tRNA (with a specific anti-codon) for a particular amino acid; and 'wobble' base-pairing, i.e. permitting non-standard base-pairing at the 3rd anti-codon position. The record is from Rfam by way of RNAcentral. Lineage: Eukaryota; Metazoa; Chordata; Mammalia; Rodentia; Caviidae.
GGGGAUCUAGCUCAGCGGCAUAAGCGCCUGCCUUGCAAGCAGGCAGUCGUGAGUUCGAUCCCUGGUACCCA